This 253-nucleotide ribosomal RNA is filed under the name uncultured bacterium. RNAcentral's name for it is "partial 16S ribosomal RNA". It matches the Rfam family "Bacterial small subunit ribosomal RNA", at positions 524 to 776 of the family's 1533-position model. The record is from RNAcentral.
UACGUAGGGUGCGAGCGUUAAUCGGAAUUACUGGGCGUAAAGCGUGCGCAGGCGGUUUUGCAAGGCAGAUGUGAAAUCCCCGGGCUCAACCUGGGAACUGCAUUUGUGACUGCAUGGCUGGAGUGCGGCAGAGGGGGAUGGAAUUCCGCGUGUAGCAGUGAAAUGCGUAGAUAUGCGGAGGAACACCGAUGGCGAAGGCAAUCCCCUGGGCCUGCACUGACGCUCAUGCACGAAAGCGUGGGGAGCAAACAGG